This 1512-nucleotide long non-coding RNA is filed under the name Callithrix jacchus (white-tufted-ear marmoset). Its description in RNAcentral is "lncRNA (ENSCJAG00000076764.1)". Lineage: Eukaryota; Metazoa; Chordata; Mammalia; Primates; Cebidae. The record is from RNAcentral.
GUGGCCGUGGCCGCCGCCGCCGCCGCCGCCGCCGCCACCCGGGCUGCUCUAGGGGCCCGGCUUCUCUGCGCGUCCGCCUGGGGCUCACGGGGGCCCGGGGCGGCCGCUGGUUGGCUCGCGCACCGCCCUCGCCUCCAAUCCCCGGUGCCUGUCCUAAUUUCCUGAUCCAGGGAACCUGCCGCCGCCGCAGCUGUGCGCUCCCUACAGUCAUUACAGUGCCCUCCCGGCAGCCGCCAACUGAACACGCAGCGGCAGCAGUUAGCGCUGAUGCAACUCUCGCUGCUACUGCCACGGCUUCCCCACUAACCGGCCGUGCAGCUGGGGGGUACUUGCAGUUUCCAGGGGCAACAAGCAUCUCUCUACCACCCUCUCCUGCGCCCCUGAGAGAGGCUGCAGCUUUCUCUUCACCAUCCACCAUGACUGCAAGCUCCUUGAGGUCCUCACCAGAAGCAGAUGCCAGCAGCACACACUUCCUAUACAGCCUGCAGAACUGGACCUGGUUCUGUGUCCUGCUGCCCUGGUCAUCCUUGGGAUUCUGCUCCCCGCAUCCAGACUACUGUUCCAGCCAUGGCUCAAAGGGUUCCAGGUACAGCUGGGGAUACCACUCCUGAGAGCACAAACUGCCCUGAGCUUGAUGUAGAAGACUAUCAUAUGAACCAGAGAGGGUAACUGAACCCAAAGAAAUGACUCCAACAUGAAGCUAAAGACACGCCUUAAAGGAUGAGGAGGAGCAGAAAUCCCACCAGCAAGGCAAGAAAGAAGCUGUGCAUGAACAGGUGACAGUAAGAGAAAUGCUUCAUUCCCUGUUGCGAUUAUUAGCACGUGAAGCUUGUGAAACACAGAGCCCCAGCUAGAGGAUCUUGUGUUAUAAUUUUUCAAAGACUGCGCAGCAGGCACAGCAGCCAUACAGCUAAUAGAAAUCAAGUGUUAUUUCUUAAGUAUCAUGCACUUUGAUUAGCAGCUUGGGGAGCCAUUGGCUGAAUUUCUUGAAGAAACCUCUAGGAAGUCAGCCAUAACUCUAAGACUGAGGCAGCUUUCGAGUAGUGUGAUUCAUCUUCUUUAAGUAUUAGGGCCACCUAGGGUCACGCCAGCCCAGUCUACAGCAGGUAACCUGGAACUGAAAUUCUGAGACAAAAGAACUAGGAGGAAAAAUGUCCCACCUGGCUCAAGGGAGGAAGUCAAUUUAAAGGGAUGAGGAGAACACUGGCAAAAUAAUAUUUUAAAGCUAUUAACUGAUUUUCCUCUUCUGGCAGUUCCUAUUGCCUCUGACUCCUCCCCCAAGCCCACUUAGGUAUCAUUUGUUCUAUCAGGAAAAAAGAAGUUUCACCAGAGGGCAGGAAAAACAGGCUUUUGAUUUUCUAAAGUCAAGACCCUGAAGGCACUUGGGAUAGAGACACUAAGGUGAAUUGAUGCAAAGUUUCCCACCCCUUGUAAAACCUAGAGUUUUCUAGGUGUGUUGUGAGGACAGUGCUCGAGCUGGGGAGAAAAGGGGGCUGAUACAUGCUGGUGGGG